CCCUUCUGAAUGUGGGUCAUUUCCCCGAUAUCAUCAGGACAGAAACUGAACCCACAGGUCUCUCUUCCAGACUGGGCUUCCGGCCGCUGGGCGCGGGGGCCCCCUGAGGGUUACCCCUGGGGAACAGCUGCAUCGGUGAUGGUUGCAUUCUCUCUUCCUUUAAUUUGUUUAAACAACUUCCACCGAGACUGCUUAACCUGGGGAUGGAAGAGCCCGAGGAGAAGUGCGGACCCCUGACAUCGGGCCCCUGUGAGCUUUAGGUUGUGUGACAAAUGGGGCCCUGGAGGCUGCUUUCCUGUAGCUGCGGGAGUCAGCGACGUUGGCUUGGGCGACCUCCAGUGUGGCUGCCACCCGCAAAGGCACCUGGGAGUGAGCAGACUUUCCUGAAGGUGGGGCUCGGCGGCCAGCACACAACUUCCGGUGCAACACUGGUUCUCCAGGCCCCUCUGUGUUGUUAGCUCAUCGGGCCCUGGUCUCCAUCUCCUCCCGCUCCCCUCCCCUCUCUUCCCCUCCUCCCUUUUUGCAGCUUUCCUGCUCUUCCCGGGUCCUCUUUAUUUCUAGCACAGAGUGAUUCAGCCCUCAGGAACAGCUGUGCAAACACAACCCCGGAUGGCAACACUGACGUCACAGUCUACAGCAGAGGGCCACAAGCUGUAGUCCACUGCCGACCUGGCCCACAGCUUGUUCUGUAAAUAAAGUUUUAUUACAACGCA
Molecule: long non-coding RNA, 713 nt
Organism: Chinchilla lanigera (long-tailed chinchilla)
Lineage: Eukaryota; Metazoa; Chordata; Mammalia; Rodentia; Chinchillidae
Exons: 2
Source: RefSeq, a predicted model, not a curated record